This 71-nucleotide transfer RNA is filed under the name Anaerocolumna jejuensis DSM 15929. It matches the Rfam family "tRNA". Rfam says of the family: Transfer RNA (tRNA) molecules are approximately 80 nucleotides in length. Their secondary structure includes four short double-helical elements and three loops (D, anti-codon, and T loops). Further hydrogen bonds mediate the characteristic L-shaped molecular structure. tRNAs have two regions of fundamental functional importance: the anti-codon, which is responsible for specific mRNA codon recognition, and the 3' end, to which the tRNAs corresponding amino acid is attached (by aminoacyl-tRNA synthetases). tRNAs cope with the degeneracy of the genetic code in two manners: having more than one tRNA (with a specific anti-codon) for a particular amino acid; and 'wobble' base-pairing, i.e. permitting non-standard base-pairing at the 3rd anti-codon position. The record is from Rfam by way of RNAcentral. Lineage: Bacteria; Bacillati; Bacillota; Clostridia; Lachnospirales; Lachnospiraceae.
GCGGAUAUAGUUUAAUGGUAAAAUUCGAGCUUCCCAAGCUUGUGCUGCGGGUUCGAUUCCCGUUAUCCGCU